RNAcentral lists this ribosomal RNA (185 nucleotides) under uncultured bacterium. RNAcentral describes it as "partial 16S ribosomal RNA". It matches the Rfam family "Bacterial small subunit ribosomal RNA", at positions 118 to 305 of the family's 1533-position model. The record is from RNAcentral.
UGGGCAACCUGCCCCUCUCUGGGAUAACCCCGGGAAACCGGAGCUAAUACCGGAUACUCCGGCUGGAUCGCAUGGUCCGGCCGGGAAAGGUCCGCCGGAGAGGGAUGGGCCCGCGGCCUAUCAGCUUGUUGGUGGGGACAUGGCUCACCAAGGCGACGACGAGUAGCUGGUCUGAGAGGACGACC